This 160-nucleotide non-coding RNA is filed under the name Loxodonta africana (African savanna elephant). RNAcentral describes it as "Eukaryotic large subunit ribosomal RNA". It matches the Rfam family "Eukaryotic large subunit ribosomal RNA", at positions 2825 to 2984 of the family's 3401-position model. Lineage: Eukaryota; Metazoa; Chordata; Mammalia; Proboscidea; Elephantidae. The record is from Rfam by way of RNAcentral.
GAUAACUGGCUUGUGGCGGCCAAGUGUUCAUAGUGACAUCGCUUUUUGAUCCUUCGAUGUCGGCUCUUCCUAUCAUUGUGAAGUAGAAUUCACCAAGCGUUGGAUUGUUCACCCACCAAUAGGGAACAUGAGCUGGGAUUAGACCGUCGUGAAACAGGUU